CGUAACAAGGUCUCCGUUGGUGAACCAGCGGAGGGAUCAUUACCGAGUUUACAACUCCCAAACCCCUGUGAACAUACCACUUGUUGCCUCGGCGGAUCAGCCCGCUCCCGGUAAAACGGGACGGCCCGCCAGAGGACCCCUAAACUCUGUUUCUAUAUGUAACUUCUGAGUAAAACCAUAAAUAAAUCAAAACUUUCAACAACGGAUCUCUUGGUUCUGGCAUCGAUGAAGAACGCAGCAAAAUGCGAUAAGUAAUGUGAAUUGCAGAAUUCAGUGAAUCAUCGAAUCUUUGAACGCACAUUGCGCCCGCCAGUAUUCUGGCGGGCAUGCCUGUUCGAGCGUCAUUUCAACCCUCAAGCACAGCUUGGUGUUGGGACUCGCGUUAAUUCGCGUUCCCCAAAUUGAUUGGCGGUCACGUCGAGCUUCCAUAGCGUAGUAGUAAAACCCUCGUUACUGGUAAUCGUCGCGGCCACGCCGUUAAACCCCAACUUCUGAAUGUGACCUCGGAUCAGG
This 513-nucleotide ribosomal RNA is filed under the name Fusarium oxysporum. RNAcentral describes it as "eukaryotic LSU rRNA". The stretch from base 191 to 344 matches the Rfam family "5.8S ribosomal RNA". The record is from RNAcentral. Lineage: Eukaryota; Fungi; Ascomycota; Sordariomycetes; Hypocreales; Nectriaceae.